UACGGAGGGUGCGAGCGUUGUCCGGAAUCACUGGGCGUAAAGGGCGCGUAGGCGGCGCGGAUAGUCGGCGGUGAAAGCCCGGAGCUCAACUCCGGGUCGGCCGUCGAUACUUCCGGGCUUGAGCACUGUAGAGGCAGAUGGAAUUCCGGGUGUAGCGGUGGAAUGCGUAGAGAUCCGGAAGAACACCGGUGGCGAAGGCGGUCUGCUGGGCAGUUGCUGACACUGAGGCGCGACAGCGUGGGGAACAAACAGG
This 253-nucleotide ribosomal RNA is filed under the name uncultured bacterium. Its description in RNAcentral is "partial 16S ribosomal RNA". It matches the Rfam family "Bacterial small subunit ribosomal RNA", at positions 524 to 776 of the family's 1533-position model. The record is from RNAcentral.